AAUUCGUUCAAGCAGCCAUUCUGAAGGACAAACUGGCUCUGUAUUUAAGAGGGGCAUUCCAGCACUUCUCUAGCCACUGGGUUGACAAUGACUCACCAAAGCCUCUGGUAGCCACCACAGGACACCCAGAGCAUAUGUUUUAAAGCUGAACACCAAACUGCGGACUUCGGGAACCCAAACACACUUGGAGGUCAUGUUCAAUAUGAAUACCUCACAGAGAAGGAAAUUUACACGCGAGAAGUACAUCUGCAGAAAGCCAGCUGGCAUGUCAACCAUUCAAAAACUCAGGGUGUUCUGGAUAAAGAAGACUCAGGAAGACAAGUAUGAAGCAUAAUCUGUGACAUUCCAUGCGGCAGACAUUAGACAUAUACAAGAGAGUUGUUGGAAAGCGGAAUUUAUCUUCAUAUAAACAACACUGAGCUAAAUCUCAAUAUUUCAGAUCUCUAGAACUAUCCAUCAGUGAAAUGGAUUGCAAAUACAAAGAGUAAUACCAUGUCACUUAAGAAUACAAUCAUGGACGAGGCUGCCACCUGCUGUUGGGGGCCACUGCAGAAGAAAUUCCAGAACACUGGACUGGAGAGCACCUCACUUUCCUUACAGCUCUAAGUUUCUGACUCAGUGACCUGAUUCACUACCAUAUACACAAAGACCCACUUACACAAAUGACUGUUCUUCACACUAGGCCCAUGGAGACAGGGAUAAAAUUCUGAAUUUGCUCAGAUACCUUCUCCGCUACUGACAUCUAGGCAUUACACAAUUCAUCUCUUCAUAUUUAACCUUUGAAGUUUGCUACUUCUCAGAGAGACUAAUGAGUAGUGAGCAAAUAUCCUGAAGUUGAGAAUGCUUCUACCUCCUCUCAAAACAACGGAAUAUUCAUCAAAACACAACAGUUCUGCACUUAACUUUAGGCCUUUUCUAACACCUUGUUUCUUGGCAGUAACUGUGGCCAGAAUAGCUCUUUCCACAGAUAAAGGACCUUUUGAAAGGAUAGGGUCUCUAGAUAGAAAAGCAAAUGCCUCAUUCCAGAAGGUCUUCAAGAAGAAAAUGUUGUGGUGAUAACAAACAUAACUGAUUAUAAUCUAUUCUGUGAAAAAAGCUUAUGAAACAGUAGAUGUGUGUAUCUAGUACAUAAGAGCUGAAUGUCAAUAUAUAUAUAGAUAUAUACACACACUCAAAUAAAUAAUAGUUAUCUCUAACUAGAGAAAUUCUAGUUGCCUUAUAUUUUCUUCUUUUUCCUUACUAUAUUUUCUACAAUAAACAUGUGUUUUUAACAAGAAAAGUCUUUUCUGGUGUGCUUUUUAAUUUUCUUUGUUUAAGUGAGAGUGAGGCUACAUAACUACAUGGCUAGGUAGACUUUUAGAAAACUUGACUGCUCUAGAAAAUUGACAUAUCCUGAUUUCUUCCAUAGCUUGGAUCUUGACCUAGAGGGAAAUAUAAAAGUGUUGACUUGAACCUGAGGGGUGCCAUUUUCACUGCUGAAGUAGUUUCAUGGAUCAUGAAUUGGAGAAAUGACUUCAGCAACAUGGGUGUUAAAAACAGAAAGCACAAGUGACCCACAACAGAUGAUGGAGAACAAAGAGCAAGCUGGGAAAGCAGUGGCCUUUAAUACAGAAAAGAAGAAGUAUAGCCACAAUAAAUAUUAGGCAGACAGCAGUUCAGCAGUUUAUACUAUUAAGCUGUUGUUUAGGGGAAUAGUAAACUGACAUGACCCUUGAGGUAGGUAUAUAUAGGUAAAUUCUAUGUGUCCCUUGAAAUAGGUGUAUGACACAACUUCUGGCAUCUACAUGGAUUUGGUCACUCUAAAGUAGCCAUGAGGCUUAAGAUAGUUCAGCUGUUUGGGGAUAAGUUAAAUCAUUUGCCAUUGUCUUUCUGCAAUUUGCAUAUCCUACAGUUAUCAUUGCCAUUACUGAAUGGCACAGAGAAAAAUUCUGGUCUAAAGUGGUUCUCAAACCUGGUUGCUGGAGGGCCACCCUCAGUGAUGAUGAUUUAAUCUGUAGAAGAGUAGAACAUUGAUAGUUUUUAUAUAUCUCCAGGUAAUUUUAAUAUAUAACUGGGGUGAGAAUCAUUGACGUAAUUGUAAGAGGAUAAUAUUCAGGAAAUAUGGAGAUAAAUAAUUUUCUUCUCGACAUUAAAAAAAUCUAAUAAAAAGUUUUAUCUUUUCCCCUAACUCAGGGUCAUCAGCCUUCAAGCUUCAGUCUCUGUGUGUUCACAGGUGCUGUAAACACACGCAUCACUACUAAUAUCCCACUUCAGUGCUAUUGCUGCUCCCAAAACUCCAGGUAUUUUUAACCUUAUAAACCUCCAGAAUAAUGAGACCACUGGGUUCAGUAAAUUGCUUUGUUUUGAAGCAGUAUUAGACAAAGUGGGAGACUAGAAGAUAAAUCUGUCAAUGACAUGUCCUUUAAGACUACUUAGAUUUUGUUGAAUUUGUGGAUCAUUCCUUACUUGAGCAAAUGGUAAAUUAACUCUCUCUUUUCUCUCUCUCUCUAGCUGGCACACUUUUUCCAGUAGCCAUUCUACUUGGUAUGCUUACUUAUCAGCUGUCCUCCAGGGGCCUCACAUUAGAUGUUUCUCUGACUAACCAAACAUGACACACAGCUGAAGUCAGAAAAACCAGAUUGAUAAUUUCACUCAAACUAUUUUCCUUCAUUCUAACAAUUUACUGGAGUACACAAUUGUGACUAUUUUUAGCCAUAGGAACUCAUAGAAAGACCAACUUCAUUAGACCUACAAAAUCGAAUUGUGUAACAGUAUAUGCAGUAUGUGUAGGAAUAAAAAGCAUUUCUCAAAUAUGCAGUACUGGAUUUUGCAAAAGCACCUUACACUUAGCUAUAAAGGAGUGGAAAACACAAAGAUGAGUAACUGCACCUUUCAAAAGACUAGAGCUAUACCAAUAAUACAAAGGUGUAAACAAAUAAUGAUGAGAUGACAAAGGCUGAGUGUUUUCUAUUUGGAAGCUAUGUUGUUGAGUUAUUUAUGUAUAUAAUUUCAUGCAAUCUUCAUGUUAUGGGGAUGUUCUAAUCCACUGUGACUCUGUCCUUAAAUAAAAGGGAGAUUUGGACAUAGAGAGAGGCACACGGGGAGGAUGCCAUAUGAGAAUUGACACUGUGCUGUCACAAGCCAAGGAACUACUGGAAGGAGAGAAAGAGGACUGGAACAGUUCCUUCCUUAGCACCUUUUCAGGCAGCCUAGCCCUGCCAGCUUCUUGAUCUGGACUUCUCACCUCUAGAAUUGUGAGGCAAUAAAUCUCUGUUGCUUAAGUUA
This is a long non-coding RNA of Homo sapiens (human), 3264 nucleotides long. RefSeq lists it as uncharacterized. The record is from RefSeq and is a predicted model, not a curated record. NCBI's taxonomy places the organism in Eukaryota, Metazoa, Chordata, Mammalia, Primates, Hominidae. The transcript has 2 exons.